GCACCCGUAGCUCAAUUGGAUAGAGUACAUGACUACGGAUCAUGAGGUUAGGGGUUCGACUCCUCUCGGGUGCGCCA
Molecule: transfer RNA, 77 nt
Filed under: Janthinobacterium lividum
Lineage: Bacteria; Pseudomonadati; Pseudomonadota; Betaproteobacteria; Burkholderiales; Oxalobacteraceae
Also listed under: 4 other names
Description: tRNA-Arg
Rfam family: tRNA
About the family: Transfer RNA (tRNA) molecules are approximately 80 nucleotides in length.
Source: RNAcentral